CUCUUUGGACUUUAACUGACAAUGUGAAUGAUUUGGGGAUGUGGGGAAGAGGAUUCCUGAUAUGUCUGUAUAAAGCAGAGCAUAGGAACAGGGGACUAUAGCGAGAGCUAAAAGAGCUUUAAGAGACCACAUAGUCCAAACAGUCUAUUUUACAAAUGAGGGAAUUAAGUUCCAGGGAUACAUGACUUAUUCAAGGUCACAGAUGUGGGAUUUGAACUCAAGACUUCAGACUCUGAUGCCAAAUGCUCUCUAUACCAUUCUAGUGUCUUCAAACAAGAAAGAAAUGAUGUUAGUCCUGAAUGCACAGAAGAAAUUAGGGGAUGAGAUGAAUGGUCCUAAACUAUGUAAAAACCAAAGGCAGAUCCUUGAUGGCAGACCCCAGACAAAGCUACAACCUUGAGAUGAGGCGGCUGCCAAAGUCAGUGCCAGAUCAGAAUCUAAACUCAUCUAUAGAAUCUUAUGAAGAAGGAUGAUGGAUGAUUAUAAGCGACUGCACCUCAUAAAAUAAAAAGAUAAAGAAGUGGAUAGAGGUAAUUUAA
Molecule: long non-coding RNA, 539 nt
Filed under: Monodelphis domestica (gray short-tailed opossum)
Lineage: Eukaryota; Metazoa; Chordata; Mammalia; Didelphimorphia; Didelphidae
Description: lncRNA (ENSMODG00000036056.2)
Source: RNAcentral